This 889-nucleotide ribosomal RNA is filed under the name uncultured bacterium. Its description in RNAcentral is "bacterial SSU rRNA". It matches the Rfam family "Bacterial small subunit ribosomal RNA", at positions 51 to 933 of the family's 1533-position model. The record is from RNAcentral.
ACACAUGCAAGCCGAGGGGCAGCAUCAUUAAAGCUUGCUUUGAUGGAUGGCGACCGGCGCACGGGUGAGUAACACGUAUCCAACCUGCCGACAACACUGGGAUAGCCUUUCGAAAGAAAGAUUAAUACCGGAUGGCAUAGUCUUCCCGCAUGGGAUGACUAUUAAAGAAUUUCGGUUGUCGAUGGGGAUGCGUUCCAUUAGGCAGUUGGCGGGGUAACGGCCCACCAAACCAACGAUGGAUAGGGGUUCUGAGAGGAAGGUCCCCCACAUUGGAACUGAGACACGGUCCAAACUCCUACGGGAGGCAGCAGUGAGGAAUAUUGGUCAAUGGACGAGAGUCUGAACCAGCCAAGUAGCGUGAAGGAUGACUGCCCUAUGGGUUGUAAACUUCUUUUAUACGGGAAUAAAGUGAGCCACGUGUGGCUUUUUGUAUGUACCGUAUGAAUAAGGAUCGGCUAACUCCGUGCCAGCAGCCGCGGUAAUACGGAGGAUCCGAGCGUUAUCCGGAUUUAUUGGGUUUAAAGGGAGCGUAGGCGGGUUGUUAAGUCAGUUGUGAAAGUUUGCGGCUCAACCGUAAAAUUGCAGUUGAUACUGGCGACCUUGAGUGCAACAGAGGUAGGCGGAAUUCGUGGUGUAGCGGUGAAAUGCUUAGAUAUCACGAAGAACUCCGAUUGCGAAGGCAGCUUACUGGAUUGUAACUGACGCUGAUGCUCGAAAGUGUGGGUAUCAAACAGGAUUAGAUACCCUGGUAGUCCACACAGUAAACGAUGAAUACCCGCUGUUGGCGAUAUACGGUCAGCGGCCAAGCGAAAGCAUUAAGUAUUCCACCUGGGGAGUACGCCGGCAACGGUGAAACUCAAAGGAAUUGACGGGGGCCCGCACAAGCGGA